This 441-nucleotide ribosomal RNA is filed under the name uncultured bacterium. Its description in RNAcentral is "partial 16S ribosomal RNA". It matches the Rfam family "Bacterial small subunit ribosomal RNA", at positions 338 to 795 of the family's 1533-position model. The record is from RNAcentral.
CCUACGGGUGGCAGCAGUGGGGAAUAUUGGGCAAUGGAGGCAACUCUGACCCAGCAAUGCCGCGUGAGUGAUGAAGGUAAUUUUAUUGUAAAGCUCUUUUCUUUGGAACGAAUAAAUGACGGUACCAAAGGAAUAAGCCCCGGCUAACUACGUGCCAGCAGCCGCGGUAAUACGGAGGAUGCGAGCGUUAUCCGGAUUUAUUGGGUUUAAAGGGUGCGUAGGCGGGCAUUUAAGCCGGCGGUCAAAUGUCGGGGCUCAACCCCGGCCUGCCGUCGGAACUGGGUGCCUUGAGUGGGCGAGAAGUAUGCGGAAUGUGUGGUGUAGCGGUGAAAUGCAUAGAUAUCACGCAGAACCCCGAUUGCGAAGGCAGCAUACCGGCGCCCUACUGACGCUGAGGCACGAAAGUGCGGGUAUCGAACAGGAUUAGAUACCCUUGUAGUC